AAACAUUAUGCAAGUAAACUAGAGAACAUCUUUUAUUUUUAUACAGAUAAGAACAAGAGUUUGCAUGGUUGUAUGGCUUGCUUGUGAUCUUUUCACAUCAGAAUUUCUUAAUGUUCACAAACCAACAUUCUAAGUGGAAAAAAUUGCCUCUUGCUCAGAACUUCUUUUUAUCUAACUGCUAAGGAGAAGCCAUGAACAUUUUCCCUCUGUGCUAUAGUGAUA
This 222-nucleotide long non-coding RNA is filed under the name Anas platyrhynchos platyrhynchos (common mallard). RNAcentral describes it as "lncRNA (ENSAPLG00000026025.1)". Lineage: Eukaryota; Metazoa; Chordata; Aves; Anseriformes; Anatidae. The record is from RNAcentral.